This 73-nucleotide transfer RNA is filed under the name Trichonephila inaurata madagascariensis. It matches the Rfam family "tRNA". From Rfam's summary of the family: Transfer RNA (tRNA) molecules are approximately 80 nucleotides in length. Their secondary structure includes four short double-helical elements and three loops (D, anti-codon, and T loops). The record is from Rfam by way of RNAcentral. Lineage: Eukaryota; Metazoa; Arthropoda; Arachnida; Araneae; Nephilidae.
AUCCCUGUAAAGCAAUGGAUAGUGUGUUCGACUUCUAAUCCAAAGGUCGUGGGUUCGAAUCCCACCUGGGAUA